This 497-nucleotide ribosomal RNA is filed under the name uncultured bacterium. RNAcentral's name for it is "partial 16S ribosomal RNA". It matches the Rfam family "Bacterial small subunit ribosomal RNA", at positions 28 to 507 of the family's 1533-position model. The record is from RNAcentral.
GAUGAACGCUGGCGGCGUGCCUAAUACAUGCAAGUCGAGCGAACGGACGAGAAGCUUGCUUCUCUGAUGUUAGCGGCGGACGGGUGAGUAACACGUGGAUAACCUACCUAUAAGACUGGGAUAACUUCGGGAAACCGUAGCUAAUACCGGAUAAUAUUUUGAACCGCAUGGUUCAAAAGUGAAAGACGGUCUUGCUGUCACUUAUAGAUGGAUCCGCGCUGCAUUAGCUAGUUGGUAAGGUAACGGCUUACCAAGGCAACGAUGCAUAGCCGACCUGAGAGGGUGAUCGGCCACACUGGAACUGAGACACGGUCCAGACUCCUACGGGAGGCAGCAGUAGGGAAUCUUCCGCAAUGGGCGAAAGCCUGACGGAGCAACGCCGCGUGAGUGAUGAAGGUCUUCGGAUCGUAAAACUCUGUUAUUAGGGAAGAACAUAUGUGUAAGUAACUGUGCACAUCUUGACGGUACCUAAUCAGUAAGCCACGGCUAACUACGUG